AGCUUUAAAGUUUUUUUAUAAAAAAUUUUUAUUUGUGGUGUAAAAGAUUAUAAAGUUA
This 58-nucleotide transfer RNA is filed under the name Dictyocaulus viviparus (bovine lungworm). RNAcentral's name for it is "tRNA-His". The record is from RNAcentral. Lineage: Eukaryota; Metazoa; Nematoda; Chromadorea; Rhabditida; Metastrongylidae.